Molecule: non-coding RNA, 2607 nt
Organism: Chrysemys picta bellii (western painted turtle)
Lineage: Eukaryota; Metazoa; Chordata; Testudines; Emydidae
Source: RefSeq, a predicted model, not a curated record
CAGGAAGGGAGCGGGGCAGCAAGCCGCUGGCGUGGGGGGCACCGGAACCGGGGGGCCCCCUUUCUCCUCCACCCCAGCCGGCAUGGAGCCGCCAGCAGCCUGCCUUUGGCUCUCGGUGCUCAGCUGCCUCCUCGCCUGGGAAAUGUGGAACGUUUUGGGCCCUGACGACAUUCAUCUCUGCAUCAGCCUGAGCUGCUGUGGUGCCUCGUGGAGGUUGUAGUUCAAGUGGCUCAUGUCCCCAUUCUCCUGUCUGGGCUGGGCUCCACAGUUGGACUAUGUCUCCCAUGAUGCCUUGUGGCUCACCCAGAUUUUUCAGCAUUUCCAAACGGACCUUUUUUUCAGUGCUUUUCAUUUUGCGGCAAAUUUCAAUAUUUCAACUUUUCAUCCUGAUUUUGGGAUGAAAACAAACGUGAAAUCAUCUGAUGUUCACUUGGGAUGGAAAUUCUGUUUUUUGAUCAACAUAAAUUGACAAGUUCAAAAUAGCAGGAUGGGAAGUGAUGUUAGUGGCAGCCUUUCUGUCACUCACCACUUACUCUGAAGGCCUGUGUCUCAUUAUCACAAUCAUUCCAUCGAUGUUCUGUCCACUUGAACUCAGGUCACCAAAUGCACAGUGCGUUGCUGCGGCUGUUCUGCUAGUUAAAUCGAGAUGGAUUGCUUGCUUCAUUCAUGGUUUGCUUGUUUCAGCUGAUUCCCGAAGGAGUCAUCUCUUUCCAUGUCUGUUUUAUAGACUGUAAUCUCUCCGGGGCAGGAACUCUCUUCAGAUCUAUUGUUCUGUGUCAGGAAAUAAAUAAAUAUGACUGACCAAUCAAUAUGAUGAUCUAAAAUCUUGGCCAUUACACUCAAUGGGUCUUCAGGUUUGAACGCAUAGCAUUGUUUCAUUUCCAGUAGGUGUGAGGUUUGUUAACCUUAUCACCACAUUCCUGCGGUUAAAAGUGCUGGUUCACACCAAGUCUCCUUUCAAUACUCCCAUUCUGCCAGUCAAAAAACCUAACAUGGACUCAGAGGGAAAACCGGUAUACCGAUUUGUCCAGGACUUAUGUGCAGUAAAUAAGGUUGUUCAAGCUAGACACAAUGUGGUGCCAAACCCUCACACAAUCCUGACUGCCAUUCCAGCAGGUACUGCUUGUUAUUCAGUAAUAGACUUGUGUAAUGCUUUUUUUUUUUAGUAUUCCUCUAAAUAAGGACAGCUGGGGCCACGCUUACCAAUUCAAUUUCAGUCCCUACUCGCUAAUGUUCCUGCUCACCGAAUCGCUCCAGAAGACUGGGUCUAUGUAAAAAAGUAAAAACACGAGCCUCUCCAACCCUGGUGGGCGGGCCCUUUCCAAGUCCUCCUUACCUCUCCACACUGCUAUUCGAGUGAAAGAGCAAGACACUUGCAUACACCACACCCGAGUCAAGCUAGCCCCUAGGACGGGGCCAGAAGCAAACAACUUCGGACUUCGAGGGAGCACCGCCAGUUCUUCCCACCGCGACCCAAAAAAGCCAAAAGCAGACAAUACCUGGAAAGCUGAACCUCUUAAAAAACUAAAGCUUCUGUUCCGGUGAACAAAAUCCUAAGACUUUAUAACUAUGGGUUCUCAGACGGUGCUGUAGUGGCUAUUGCUUUCAGGUCUGCCCCUUGUACAAGCUAACCCACAACCAGCCGCUAAACCUCUUCAGUAAACAGCCACGUUGGGACACUUAUCUAAUUGUUGGCUGUGUCACAAAACCUGCUCUAAAAAAGAAAUAGGGUUAUGGGCGGUACCUGCAAAUUUCUCUAAAGUACUCUCCUUACAGGUAAUACAAAAAACGAAAUGGGCAUAAAUUAAAAAAUAUCAAUAUAACAAAUAUAAAAAGAGGUCUGAAGUUUGGCAUUAUUACUGGGCAGCUAAGGGGGUCCCUCUUUUUAAAGUUCUUGGGAUCAGGUAUAACAUGCCCCUUUGUUUAAAAAAUGCUAAAAAAAAAAAUGGGCUACCUUUCCCCUGAAGGCCUGUGAUCAAACCCUUUGGUUUGAGGUAAAAAAUGAAACCCUUUACCCUUUAAAUACCCCUAAAAAUGCCCCCAACCCCUCCCCCCCACCUUGUCUCUUGCACAUAGCCUUUACAGUAAAACCAACAGGCAUUCGUUAUCAAGGGCAGUAGUUUCCCUUAUUCCUCCCGUUAGGCCCCAUAAAUAAAACACCUAUGUAUUAUAUGAAUAUUUACUCUGGCAUUCUGUUGCCCCACACAUCCCUUGAAAGGAUGUCUAAAUGCCCAAAGUCCAUAAAAUCAUUGGCAAGUUUCACAGCUAACGUAUUUGGGGUUACCUAUUAUAGGGCCAUUUUAAACAAUACCCAUGCCCUAAAAAACUUAAAUGUUUCCCAUAAAAAGUGCCAGGACUGCCUAAUAAGUAACUCCUGGCGCUGAAAUGAAGGAGUAACCUGGCGCCAUCAAGUUGUGGGUAAUACCCUUACCCUCUAUUUAAAAACCCCUGGCUUGUAUUUUAUCUGUGGCCACAGUGUCUACAAAGCUCUUCCUCCAGGUUGGCAAGGUCAGUGUGGUGUGGCCCGGGUGUUACCAAAUGUCCAAGUAAACGACACAUUGGAUUCCAGCCAGAUCCUCAACCUGGGCAGCUAUGCCCAUAAAUUUU